RNAcentral lists this ribosomal RNA (465 nucleotides) under uncultured bacterium. Its description in RNAcentral is "partial 16S ribosomal RNA". It matches the Rfam family "Bacterial small subunit ribosomal RNA", at positions 338 to 795 of the family's 1533-position model. The record is from RNAcentral.
CCUACGGGUGACAGCAGUGGGGAAUAUUGCGCCAUGGGCGAAAGCCUGACGCAGCGACGCCGCGUGAGGGAUGAAGGUCUUCGAAUCGUACACCUCUGUCAGCAGGGAAGAACGGUCACUGUGCUAAUCAGCAGUGAAUUGACGGUACCUGCAAAGGAAGCACCGGCUAACUCCGUGCCAGCAGCCGCGGUAAUACGGAGGGUCCGACCGUUAAUCGGAAUUACUGGGCGUAAAGCGCUCGUAGGCGGUAUGUCAAGUCAAGGGUGAAAUCCCCGCGCUCAACGUGGGAACUGCCUUUGAAACUGGCAAACUGGAGUGUGUGAGAGGAUAGUGGAAUUACAGGUGGAGGAGUGAAAUCCGUAGAUAUCUGGAGGAACAUCAGUGGCGAAGGCGACUAUCUGGCACAUAACUGACGCUGAGGAGCGAAAGCGUGGGUAGCAAACAGGAUUAGAUACCCUAGUAGUC